GCAGUCGAGCGCACUCUUCGGAGUGAGCGGCGGACGGGUUAGUAACGCGUGGGAACGUGCCCUUCUCUAAGGAAUAGCCACUGGAAACGGUGAGUAAUACCUUAUACGCCCUUCGGGGGAAAGAUUUAUCGGAGAAGGAUCGGCCCGCGUUAGAUUAGAUAGUUGGUGGGGUAACGGCCUACCAAGUCUACGAUCUAUAGCUGGUUUUAGAGGAUGAUCAGCAACACUGGGACUGAGACACGGCCCAGACUCCUACGGGAGGCAGCAGUGGGGAAUCUUGGACAAUGGGCGCAAGCCUGAUCCAGCCAUGCCGCGUGAGUGAUGAAGGCCUUAGGGUCGUAAAGCUCUUUCGCCAGAGAUGAUAAUGACAGUAUCUGGUAAAGAAACCCCGGCUAACUCCGUGCCAGCAGCCGCGGUAAUACGGAGGGGGUUAGCGUUGUUCGGAAUUACUGGGCGUAAAGCGCACGUAGGCGGAUCAGAAAGUUGGGGGUGAAAUCCCAGGGCUCAACCCUGGAACUGCCUCCAAAACUCCUGGUCUUGAGUUCGAGAGAGGUGAGUGGAAUUCCGAGUGUAGAGGUGAAAUUCGUAGAUAUUCGGAGGAACACCAGUGGCGAAGGCGGCUCACUGGCUCGAUACUGACGCUGAGGUGCGAAAGUGUGGGGAGCAAACAGGAUUAGAUACCCUGGUAGUCCACACCGUAAACGAUGAAUGCCAGUCGUCAGCAAGCAUGCUUGUUGGUGACACACCUAACGGAUUAAGCAUUCCGCCUGGGGAGUACGGUCGCAAGAUUAAAACUCAAAGGAAUUGACGGGGGCCC
RNAcentral lists this ribosomal RNA (817 nucleotides) under Phaeobacter inhibens. Its description in RNAcentral is "bacterial SSU rRNA". It matches the Rfam family "Bacterial small subunit ribosomal RNA", at positions 57 to 922 of the family's 1533-position model. Lineage: Bacteria; Pseudomonadati; Pseudomonadota; Alphaproteobacteria; Rhodobacterales; Roseobacteraceae. The record is from RNAcentral.